Molecule: ribosomal RNA, 468 nt
Filed under: uncultured bacterium
Lineage: Bacteria
Description: partial 16S ribosomal RNA
Rfam family: Bacterial small subunit ribosomal RNA
Source: RNAcentral
GACGAACGCUGGCGGCGUGCUUAACACAUGCAAGUCGAACGGAAAGGCCCUGCUUUUGUGGGGUGCUCGAGUGGCGAACGGGAGAGUAACACGUGAGUAACCUGCCCUUGACUUUGGGAUAACUUCAGGAAACUGGGGCUAAUACCGGAUAGGAGCUCCUGCUGCAUGGUGGGGGUUGGAAAGUUUCGGCGGUUGGGGAUGGACUUGCGGCUUAUCAGCCUGUUGGUGGGGUAGUGGCUUACCAAGGCGUUGACGGGUAGCCGGCCUGAGAGGGUGACCGGGCACAUUGGGACUGAGAUACGGCCCAGACGCCUACGGGAGGCAGCAGGGGGGAAUAUUGCACAAUGAGCGGAAGCCUGAUGCAGCAACGCCGCGUGCGGGAUGACGGCCUUCGGGUGAUAAACCGCAUUCGCCUGUGACGAAGCGUGAGUGACGUUAAUAGGUAAAGAAGCACCGGCUAACUACGUG